GACGAACGCUGGCGGCGUGCUUAACACAUGCAAGUCGAACGGAAAGGCCCUGCUUUUGUGGGGUGCUCGAGUGGCGAACGGGUGAGUAACACGUGAGUAACCUGCCCUUGACUUUGGGAUAACUUCAGGAAACUGGGGCUAAUACCGGAUAGGAGCUCCUGCUGCAUGGUGGGGGUUGGAAAGUUUCGGCGGUUGGGGAUGGACUCGCGGCUUAUCAGCUUGUUGGUGGGGUAGUGGCUUACCAAGGCUUUGACGGGUAGCCGGCCUGAGAGGGUGUCCGGCGACAUUGGGACUGAGAUACGGCCCAGACUCCUACGGGAGGCAGCAGUGGGGAAUAUUGCACAAUGGGCGGAAGCCUGAUGCAGCAACGCCGCGUGCGGGAUGACGGCCUUCGGGUUGUAAACCGCUUUCGCCUGUGACGAAGCGUGAGUGACGGUAAUGGGUAAAGAAGCACCGGCUAACUACGUG
Molecule: ribosomal RNA, 468 nt
Filed under: uncultured bacterium
Lineage: Bacteria
Description: partial 16S ribosomal RNA
Rfam family: Bacterial small subunit ribosomal RNA
Source: RNAcentral